UACAUAAAGAGCUAGCGUUGUCCGGAAUCAUUGGGCGUAAAGCGCGUGUAGGCGGUCCGGUAAGUCCGCUGUGAAAGUCGGGGGCUCAACCCUCGAAUGCCGGUGGAUACUGUCGGGCUAGAGUGCGAAAGAGGCGAGUGGAAUUCCUGGUGUAGCGGUGAAAUGCGCAGAUAUCAGGAGGAACACCGAUGGCGAAGGCAGCUCGCUGGGACGGUACUGACGCUGAGGCGCGAAAGCGUGGGGAGCAAACAGG
RNAcentral lists this ribosomal RNA (253 nucleotides) under uncultured bacterium. Its description in RNAcentral is "partial 16S ribosomal RNA". It matches the Rfam family "Bacterial small subunit ribosomal RNA", at positions 524 to 776 of the family's 1533-position model. The record is from RNAcentral.